Molecule: non-coding RNA, 48 nt
Filed under: Trichobilharzia regenti
Lineage: Eukaryota; Metazoa; Platyhelminthes; Trematoda; Strigeidida; Schistosomatidae
Source: RNAcentral
AUCCGGAUGACGGGUCCCAAAUAGGAUGAAAUGCGCGUUUUGCUGGAU